UAUUAUGCAUCGAGAAACAACAAAGAUUAUUGAAUGAACAACGUUCAUCUUUCAAAUGUGUAUAAAAUAUUUGCAAAGGUGUUUGAUGUUGUUUGUUUAUUAGCUAUUUGCAUUUUUGUGCAUUUGAAAGUUAUUAUUUGUUGCGAAUUGUGCUGUCGUGUUUACUUAGUCAAUAUGAGUAAACUAGUAAAGGCCUGCUGUGUACCAGGAUGCACGAAUAAGCAAGCGAUAAGUGGAGUGCCACAGCACCAUUACUCCAGAGCACUUCACCUGGGAGUGCUUGAAAUAGAAGACGAAGAUCUCUGACAUUAAAGCCAUCCUACAUUCUAGACUUUUUAAAGUCUAUACGAGACCCCAAAUCUAUACAUAUGUACAUACGGGACCAUUAGAAAUAUGUUUUAAAAUAUUCAGAUUUAGUAUAGAGAGUAAUUCAAACAUCAAACAAUCUGCACACUACAAAUCUUUAGUUGCAUCUCAACAAAAAUUCAGCUCUAACCACUUAAAAUUUAUACAAAAUUUUUUAUAGGCAACAUAAAUGAUGAAAAGUGGAUGAACAUAACUUGUAAUAGAUGAACUUAUACAAUAUUUUUUAUAUUGAAAUUUAGAUCAAUGUAUCUAAUGAAUAUGAAAAAAAUGUACAAGGUUGAACUGAUGAAAUGGUGAAAACAGUAAUUGGAAACAAACUACUGCAGAAUAUUUAGAUAAAUGAACAAAUUAUAAAAAGUUCAGAUGCAAGUAAUGAUAUAUAUGUUUCAGAAUAAAUAUUUCUAUCACACGUCAUUUUGGAUAUUGAAUUUUGAAUCCCAUAAAUUUCAAGUUUUUACAAAAAUUAAUACAAUUUGAAGCCACCGGAAAUCUUAAUUAAUUAUUUCCCAGACUAUGAUUGCAUAAGUAUUCAAAAGUUCGGAAAAUAUAUUAAUGUUAAGUCUA
This is a long non-coding RNA of Diorhabda sublineata, 930 nucleotides long. RefSeq lists it as uncharacterized. The transcript has 2 exons. Lineage: Eukaryota; Metazoa; Arthropoda; Insecta; Coleoptera; Chrysomelidae. The record is from RefSeq and is a predicted model, not a curated record.